AGAUUGAACGCUGGCGACAUGCCUAACACAUGCAAGUCGAACGGGAGUAGCAAUACUCUAGUGGCGGACGGGUGAGGAAUACGUAGGAAUUUGCCCUUAAGUGGGGGAUAACCCGGGGAAACCCGGAUUAAUACCGCGAUGACCUCGAAAGAGCAAAGUGGGGGAUCGCAAGACCUCACGCUUUUGGAGAAGCCUACGUCGGAUUAGCUAGUUGUGAGGUAAUGGCUCACCAAGGCGACGAUCCGUAACUGGUCUGAGAGGAUGAUCAGUCACGACCGGAACUGAGACACGGUACCGGACUCCGUACGGGAGGCAGCAGGUGGGGAAUAGUUGGACAAGUGGGCACGAAGCCUAGGACUCCGAAGAC
RNAcentral lists this ribosomal RNA (367 nucleotides) under uncultured soil bacterium. RNAcentral describes it as "bacterial SSU rRNA". It matches the Rfam family "Bacterial small subunit ribosomal RNA", at positions 26 to 398 of the family's 1533-position model. The record is from RNAcentral.